GAUGAAGAACGCAGCGAAACGCGAUAGUUAAUGUGAAUUGCAGAAUUCAGUGAAUCAUCGAGUCUUUGAACGCACAUUGCGCCCAUUGGUAUUCCGUUGGGCAUGUCUGUUUGAGCGUCAUUACAACAGUUCAGCGUAAGCUGGUUAUGAGUUCUGUUUUUUUAAACAAAAAACAGGCUUUAAAAUGUAUGUUCUGCAGGUCGCUUUGCUAAACCCUAAACAUUAAAUACUGUUCUAGUGAAGCAUUUGCGACUCUGCCUGAAAAAAAACUUUUGUUAAAGUUUGACCUCAGAUCAGACAAGGAUACCCGCUGAACUUAAGCAUAUCAAUAAGCGGUGGA
Molecule: unclassified non-coding RNA, 340 nt
Filed under: soil metagenome
Description: partial contains 5.8S ribosomal RNA, internal transcribed spacer 2, and large subunit ribosomal RNA
Rfam family: 5.8S ribosomal RNA (bases 1-120)
Source: RNAcentral